CUGCUGGGAGGAAAUAGGGCAUUAGAAUAGACUCUCUGGAAUUAUUUGGUUUUAAAAUCAUAUGCCUCAUAGCCCAUUUUAUUACUGAUAAUUAUUACAUAAAAAUAAAUAAUAUUUAUUGAAAAAGAAAGUGCAAAUAAGAGGCAAAGAACCUCAGUUUGAUUCCCCAGUUGUAAUGACUGUCAGCUAACUCCACCCAACACAAUAAACAAGUCAUACAUCAUUGGAGAAAAGUUGAUAAAUGUCAGUCAAACACAUUCUUAUGGUAGAGAGGAUGUAAUAACAUUAGCAUAUUUAAGGAUAAGACCCUGCCUAUUAAGCCCCAUUUUUCCUCUCAAAUUCCUUAAUCAGAUGGCACUAUAGAAAUAGGAGCAUCACUUUAAUAAUCCUUCAUUCAGGCUUUCCUAUUUGCCUACAAGGUUCUAUGAAACAAUAGAAUAAAGGUAAGAAUCCUAUCUUUGAUCAAUAAUUAAAUUUUUGUAAGAAAUAGAAUUCCAAAUGCAAUUUAGUGGCCUCAUAAUAUAAUGUUAAAUUAGUUAGAUAGAUCUUUUAUAACAUUCAAGUGAUUGAAAUUACUUUUAAAUAUUCAGUCUCUGAAUAGAAGGAUUAAUGGCUGUUCAACAAAUCAAAUCCACACUAAUGAUGCCAUAAACUUUAGGACAGGUAAUUACCUACUAAUAAUUAAAAAUUCCUUUUAGUUGGCCCUUCAAACUAAGUGGUAAGACUAACUAACAUAACAUGGUGAUAAAGAAUCAAUACGAAAUUGUAUGCAUAGUCAAAGACUAACCUGUAUGAUAUACUAAAGACAGUACAGGUUUUCUGUUGCUGUGGCUGUGAUACAGGCCAGUGGCUACAGCUCCAAUUCACCCUCUAACCUGGGCUCCUCCAUAUGUCAUGCGUGCGGCCCUAAAAAGAAAAAAGACAAAAAAAAAGACACUACAGGUUUUCAAAGGAAAGAAUUAUUAAUAAAGAGUCGAUCAAUAAUUCUUUCAUAGAAAAUAAAACCUUUAACUUGCAUUUUUAAGCUUUGAAUAAGUAAAAUUUCAUAUUCACACAAGGAUAAAAAUGAACAUAAAAUUCAUGGAGAUAGAAGAACAUUUUUUUCAUGGACAAAAAAGAAAAUAUAAUGAAGAAAAAAUGUCUGUUGGACAGACAUAGCUAAAAAGGUAGCAUAGGAUCAGACUAUUCUAAUCAUUUGAAACAAGAUAAAAAUUUUUAGACUUAAUCAGAAAGUAAUUCAUGGUUUUGGAUUAAAGUGGUGAAGUUUUGAGAAGAAAAUAAUAUUUAGGGAGAUCCGUCGUGGCUCAGUGGUAAGGAGCCUGACUAGUAUCCAUGAGGAUGCAGAUGCGAUCCCUGGCCGUGCUCAGUGUCAGCGAUCCCGCAUUUCCAUGAGCUGUGGUGUAGGUUGCAGAUGCAGCUCCAAUCUCCUGUUGCUGUGGCUGUGGUGUAGGCCAGCAGCUAUAGCUCCAAUUCUUCCCCUAGCCUGGGAACUUUCAUAUGUUGACGGUGCGGCCAUUAAAAAAAAAAAAAAAAAAAAAUUAAAGAAUUUUUGCAUGACACAUAGAAAUGAUGGAUUGGGUGAAGAUGAAAUGAGUUGAGAAGGACAUUUGAAGAGUGUCCUACUGUUUUGUUCAUUCUGGCACUAUUAAGAAUUAAACAAUCGGAGUAGCACAGACUUUGGUAUUCCAUUAAAUAUAGGUAACGAAUAAGAGGACUUGGUCAACAUUUCAAAUUGCAAGUUUGGUGAGAGAGAAUAUAAUCUCCAAGAAAGAAAUUGCAUAUUAAUAUAAUGAAGGGGCCUUGAACAUCCCCUUGUUACACCUAUGAAACAAUCUGUCUUAUGCUCAUUCCCUAGCUUGAUAGCAAACACGUGCUUUUAGAUCCAUGCUUCAAUGAUCAAUGACAUUCUAUCAAUUUCACUUAAGUUCCUGGGUGCUGGGGUCACAAACUUAAUGACUUCUCCUUAAAAUUUAUCUAUUAGGUGCAUUUCACACUUUUUCUCUUUGCCCAAAAAGUGAUCACUCGAAUGUAUUAGUGAAAUGUAAAGAUAUAUUCAUUUACAGAAUUAUUUUAUGAUAUUAUUCCAGAUUAAAUUUUCUGCUAGAUAUUAGAGACAUUAUUUAUAUGCUGUUUUUAUUUUUAAAAGGAGUAAAGGUAUUAGAAAGAUACUUAGAUCUAGUUAUCUGUCCUACCACUAGCAUACUUCAAGAAGAAAUGCAAAAUACUUCAAUAAAUCACAGAUUCUUUAACCAGCGUUAGGAACAUCUUUGAAUCUUGACCCCCCAAAAUAAAUUGUCUAGUUGAUUUUGUCUAUUUUCAGAAUAAAAUUUAAAUAAGACACACACUCAGUCCUAGAAACUGUUGUCUCCACAUCAAGACAUGGAACCAUAGGGGAUUAAAAUUCUUCAGUGUGCAGGCAAAAUGCUGAUUAGGAAAACACAAGGAACUAUACGUUCUCAAGUAAAUGGUUUACAUGCAGUUUAAAAAUAUUUAGGGAGUUCCCGCCAUGGUGCAGUGGUUAAUGAAUCCAACUAGGAACCACAAGGUUGGGGAUCGAUCCCUGGCCUUGCUCAGUGGGUUAACGAUCCGGUGUUGCCAUGAGCUGUGGUGUAGGUCAUAGACAUGGCUCGGAUCCCACGUUGCUGUGGCUGUGGUGUAGACUGGUGGCUACAGCUCCGAUUAGACCCCUAGCCUGGGAAUCUCCAUAUGCUGCAGGAACGGCCCUAGAAAAGGCAAAAAGACAAAAAAAUAAAUAAAUAAAUAAAAAUAAAAAUAUGUAGAAUUUAUUGGCUCUACAAAAAAUUCAUGGAGAUGAUAAAACAGAAAUAAAUAUGCUUCGUAUUUGUUCAUUUUUAUGGAAGCAUAGUUAAUUUAUAAUAUUAUGUUAGUUUCAACUGUACAGCCAAGUGAUUCAGUUACAUAUAUAUAUAUUUUUAAAGAUUCUUUUCCAUUAUAGGCUAUUACAAAAUAUUAAGUAUAGCUUCCUAUGCUAUCCAGUAGAUCCUUGUUGUUUACCUAUUUUAUACAUAGUAGUGUAUAUCAGUUAAUACUGUUUGUGUCAUAUUCAAUUUCUUUCAAUCAGUGUUUUACAGUUUUCAGGCCUUGGACUCCUUUGGGAGAUUUAUUCCUAGGUAUUUUAUUUUUUUGGUGCAACAGCAAAUGGGGCUGUUUACCUAAUUUCUCUUUCUAAUAUUUCAUUGUUAGUGUAUAUAAAUGCAAACUAUUUCUGUAUAUUAAUUUUGUAUCCAACAACUUUACCAAAUUCAUUGAUGAGCUCUAGUAGUUUUCCGGUAACAUCUUCAGUAUUUUCUACGUAUAGCAUCAUGUCAUCUGCAAACAGUGACAAUUUUACCUCUUCUUUUUCUAUUUGGAUUUUUUUCUUUCUUUUUCUUCUCUGAUUGCCGUGGCUAAGACUUCCAAAAUUAUGAAUAAAAGUGGAGAGAGUAGGAAUCCUUGUCUUGUUUCCCAUCUUAGAGGGAAUGCUUUUUAGCUUUCCAGUGCUGAAUAUAAUGUUUUAGCUUUGAGUUUGUCAUGUAUGGCCUUUAUUAGGUUGUGGAAGCUUCUCUCUAUGCCCACAAUCUGAAGUUUUUAUCACAGAUGGAUGUUGAAAUUUUAUCAAAAUUUUUUUCUAUAUCUAUUGAGAUGAUCAUACAGUUUUUAUUCUUUAAUUUUUUAAUGUGGUGUAUCACAUUGAUAUGCAGAUAUUGAAAAAUCCUUACCUUCGUGGGAUAAAUCCCACUUUAUCAUGAUGUAUCAUCCUUUCAAUGUAUUGAUGGAUUCAAGUUGCUAGUAUUUUGUUGAGGAAUUUUGCAUCUAUAUUCAUCAUUGAUACUGGCCUGUAAUUUUCAUUUCUGUGUACAUCACUGUCUGGUUAUCAGGGUGAUGGCUAGCCUUACAGAAUGAGUUUAAAAUUGUUCCUGUCUCUGCAAUUUUUGGGAUAGUUUCAGAAGGACAGGUGUUAACUCUUCUUUAAAUGUCUAGUAGAAUUCACCCAUUAAGCCAUUCGGUCCCGAACUUGUGAUUGUUGGGAAUCCAAAGAAUCAAAAGUAAUUUUUAUAACUACAGAUUAAAUUAUUAUAAUUUUAAUAAUUUAAAAAUUACUAUUUUUUAUAAUUACAGAUCAAUUUCCGUACUGGUAAUUGAUCUAUUCAUAUUUUCUAUUUCUUCUUGCUUUAGUCUUAGCAGAUGAUACCUUUCUGAGAAUUUGUCUAUUUCCUCUAGGUUUUCAUUUCUAUUAGAAUAUAAUUGUUCAUAAUAGUUUCUUCCAAUUCUUCAUAUUUCUGUGGUGUCAGUUGUAACUUCUUUCUUAUUUCUGACUUAAUUGACUUGGCACUUCUCUUUUUCUUUAUGAGACUGUCUAAAGGUUUAUCACUUUUGUUUAUCUUUUCAAAAAAACAGCUAUAAGUUUCAUUGAUCUUUUCAAUUAUUUUCAUCUGUAUUCCAUUUGUUUCUGCUCUGAUGUUUCUGAUUUCUUUUAUUCUACUGCUUUGGGUUUUGUUUGUUCUUCUUUUCUAGUUCCUUUAAGUGUAAGGUUAGGUUGUUUAUUUAACAUUUUCUUAUUUCCUAAGGUAAGCUUUUAUCAUUAUACACUUCCUACUUAGAACUGCUUUUGCUGUAUCCCAUAGGUUUU
Molecule: long non-coding RNA, 4630 nt
Filed under: Sus scrofa (pig)
Lineage: Eukaryota; Metazoa; Chordata; Mammalia; Artiodactyla; Suidae
Description: lncRNA (ENSSSCG00000053621.1)
Source: RNAcentral